AAAUCUCGCAUUUAAUCCUUGUUGCUUGGUUUAGAUCUUGUUAGUUUACUAGGCAGAAACAUUUCAUUUUCAUACAAAAAUUAUAUGUUUUGAAAUCUGAACCUAUUUCUUUUUUGGUCCAUUUUAAAAAGAAUGAUUCAUUUCUAAAUUUGGUAACAAUUUAGCUUAAACUUACAAUUCUACCCUUAAUAGUAGCUUUUAUAACCAUACAAAUACACUGACACCCUUUUUGACUUGUUUAGAAUUAUAAAUUCCAAUUUUUUUAUUUUUUUUAAACUUCGUAUCCAGUCAAACAUGUUACUUAAAUUGGAAUGGAGGGAGUAAUAAGAUGUGAGGUUCAUUUACAGAAAAAGGUUCCCCCUGAAUUUGGGACAGGAUAAAGGUGAGAAAAUGUCAGAUAAAUUUUUUAAAGAUUUUGAAGGCGUCAUGAAUGAGUAGUUUGGUUUAUAUCUUUAAUUUCAAAGAACUCGUGCCCCCCCCCCCCCCUCCUCCCUCCGUCUUCAAAUUUAUACUCGUCAAGUCUUUCACUCUCUUUCGUAUCCCUUUUUAAAAAAUUUAACAAGUUUCUAGAUUUAAAUUUUCAUUACUUUAUUUUAAUAUUGACAAAUAUCCUAGUAAAAAUUCUGACUUUUAUAUUGUCAUAAGUUAGACUAAUUUUUAUUUGCUUAUGAGCUUAUGGUCGUUUCAGACUGGUGGACCCAACUACAAUGUUCCUUUAGGAAGAAAAGACGGACUCAACUUUGCAACAGAACAAGCAACCUUAGACAACCUUGUUGCACCAUUUGCCAACACCACAGU
This 798-nucleotide long non-coding RNA is filed under the name Nicotiana tabacum (common tobacco). Its description in RNAcentral is "long non-coding RNA (NTAB_LNC012206)". Lineage: Eukaryota; Viridiplantae; Streptophyta; Magnoliopsida; Solanales; Solanaceae. The record is from RNAcentral.